CCUACGGGACGCUGCAGUGGGGAAUAUUGGACAAUGGGGGCAACCCUGAUCCAGCCAUGCCGCGUGUGUGAAGAAGGCCCUCGGGUUGUAAAGCACUUUCAGUGAGGAAGAACGCCUGGUGGUUAAUACCCAUCAGGAAAGACAUCACUCACAGAAGAAGCACCGGCUAACUCCGUGCCAGCAGCCGCGGUAAUACGGAGGGUGCGAGCGUUAAUCGGAAUUACUGGGCGUAAAGCGCGCGUAGGUGGCUUGAUAAGCCGGUUGUGAAAGCCCCGGGCUCAACCUGGGAACGGCAUCCGGAACUGUCAAGCUAGAGUGCAGGAGAGGAAGGUAGAAUUCCCGGUGUAGCGGUGAAAUGCGUAGAGAUCGGGAGGAAUACCAGUGGCGAAGGCGGCCUUCUGGACUGACACUGACACUGAGGUGCGAAAGCGUGGGUAGCAAACAGGAUUAGAUACCCUUGUAGUC
Molecule: ribosomal RNA, 465 nt
Filed under: Vreelandella stevensii
Lineage: Bacteria; Pseudomonadati; Pseudomonadota; Gammaproteobacteria; Oceanospirillales; Halomonadaceae
Description: partial 16S ribosomal RNA
Rfam family: Bacterial small subunit ribosomal RNA
Source: RNAcentral